UGGGGAAUAUUUCACAAUGGGCGCAAGCCUGAUUCAGCCAUGCCGCGUGUAUGAAGAAGGCCUUCGGGUUGUAAAGUACUUUCAGUCGGGAGGAAGGUGGUAAGGUUAAUAACCUUAUCAAUUGACGUUACCGACAGAAGAAGCACCGGCUAACUCCGUGCCAGCAGCCGCGGUAAUACGGAGGGUGCAAGCGUUAAUCGGAAUUACUGGGCGUAAAGCGCACGCAGGCGGUUGAUUGAGUCAGAUGUGAAAUCCCCGGGCUUAACCCGGGAAUUGCAUCUGAUACUGGUCAGCUAGGGUCUUGUAGAGGGGGGUAGAAUUCCAUGUGUAGCGGUGAAAUGCGUAGAGAUGUGGGGGAAUACCGGUGGGGAAGGCGGCCCCCUGGACAAAGACUGACGCUCAGGUGCGAAAGGGUGGGGAGCAAACAGG
This 429-nucleotide ribosomal RNA is filed under the name Chloroflexota bacterium. Its description in RNAcentral is "Chloroflexi bacterium partial 16S ribosomal RNA". It matches the Rfam family "Bacterial small subunit ribosomal RNA", at positions 355 to 776 of the family's 1533-position model. Lineage: Bacteria; Bacillati; Chloroflexota. The record is from RNAcentral.